Molecule: ribosomal RNA, 198 nt
Filed under: uncultured bacterium
Lineage: Bacteria
Description: partial 16S ribosomal RNA
Rfam family: Bacterial small subunit ribosomal RNA
Source: RNAcentral
AGGCUGCAACUCGCCUACAUGAAGUUGGAAUCGCUAGUAAUCGCGAAUCAGAAUGUCGCGGUGAAUACGUUCCCGGGUCUUGUACACACCGCCCGUCACACCACGAGAGUUGGGAAUACCCGAAGCCUGUGAGCUAACGUUAAGAGGCAGCAGUCGAAGGUAGAAUCAAUGAUUGGGGUGAAGUCGUAACAAGGUACC